UUGCCGAGAGGAGGCAGGGAAAGGCAAAGUCAUGCCGUGAGCACUCCGAGGAGUGCUAACUGAACGGGGCUCACUCUC
This 78-nucleotide non-coding RNA is filed under the name Symbiodinium sp. CCMP2430. Lineage: Eukaryota; Dinophyceae; Suessiales; Symbiodiniaceae. The record is from RNAcentral.